Long non-coding RNA from Betta splendens (Siamese fighting fish), 1573 nucleotides. RefSeq lists it as uncharacterized. NCBI's taxonomy places the organism in Eukaryota, Metazoa, Chordata, Actinopteri, Anabantiformes, Osphronemidae. The transcript is spliced from 2 exons. The record is from RefSeq and is a predicted model, not a curated record.
GUUUGAAGAACGACAGUAUUUCAGCUCGCGCGGAGUCUGAGAGAAAAGUGCGACCGAGGGCGAAAAGUUGCGCGCGUCGCUCUCUCAACUUCACAGCGAGGCGGGCGUUCGCUCGCCUCGGACUUUCUGCCGCUGUUUCGCACACUUGAACGGGACCGCCGGGCUCGGUUUUAUUGAAGUUCUCGCGUCCCGUCGCAGGUCCGGUGGGUUCUGCGCGAGGCGCUCCACGCUCGCCGCCGCCGCCGCCGCUGCCGCGUCGAGCCUGACGCAGACGCACCGUGUUUACCGAGAGCUCCUCGCGCCCGGGCUCCGGCGUCACUGUCUCGACUUUGAUGCUUGGAAGUGUUCGGUGAUGCUCGCCGUCGCUGUCGCCUUGUGCGCAGUGUGGCGUUUGGAAACGAAACGAGCGUGUGGAGUAGUUGACAGGAAAGGGAAAACUCUUACCUGGGCUACUUCGCUGUCUUUCGCUGACUUCCAACCUAGGGGACGCGGGCGCCUACGGGCGAGUCGCCCGGAAGAUCUGCCCUGGAGACCGGCUCCAAGUGGGAAGAGGAGUCCUUAAUUGAAUUUCUCGGGUUAGCAGGUGUUGCUUGGAAAACCUGGACUGGAGUUAGAGGUCUUCUCAGCACACCUUACUACUUUAAAGUAUAUAGAUUUGCUUUAGGGCCGCUUUUAUUUCAGAAACAGUUCGCUUUUUGCUUCUAUUUGAUAAAUAAAUAUUAUUGUUGCUAAUUAUACAGCAGGUAGGUUACGCUUUUUUCCAUGCUAACUGGUUAGCAAACCACCUGCUAGCUUACAGCAUUAAACAUUAAAAACAAUUCGCUUUGCUAUUCAACUGCUAAAUAAACCAUAACGUUUUUGUGUUGUCUCGUUUUGUUCUGGUUGUGGGUUCUAAGUGGUCAGACUUACCUCAAUUAAGUUUCCAUUGCACGUCAGUGACGCUGCCAUUUAGGUCAGUAACGGCCGCAUAAGCCCCGCCCCCUAUCCAGCUGCCUGUCAAUCAUCUGAUGCAAUUAUCAUCACGCGUGGUUUUUAGGAAAGCUGAACAUUUAAUAAACGUGUUCACUAAUGAGGUAGUCGACUAAAAGUUUACUACAUGACAUGGACUCGUGAUCAUUCAUUGAACCCUGCUUAAAUGUAGUAGAAACAGCUUUUAAAGGAAGAAAAUUGUUACUUAAGUAAAAUUCUGAUGUACUGUAAGAAAACUCUAAUACUUGCUGCUAAUGCGUUCUGUUCCAAAAUGUAAAGCAUGUACGUGUGAUAAUAUUUUUAUUCUUAUGUACUGUAGUGGAUCUGAAUGAGAUGAAUGGGAGUAAUGCUGAACCGAAUUAAGACUGUGAAGCCGAACAAUGAGCUGAAAUGAGCUACAAACCACAUUUAGUAUUCUCUGUUGGUUCUUUACUAUGAGAGAAUGCAUCUACUGUAAAUGUAGUAAUUAGUGCACUUGUGAACACUGGGAUUAAUGUCUCAUUUAUAACUAAUAUGCUUAUGUUUGUGACAUAAUUGAUAUUUAUGCAUUAUUAAGGUCUUUAAACUAAAACAUUAAACACAUUGGCAUUUCACAAAAAGCCUA